CAGCAGCCACGGUAAUACGAAGGGGGCUAGCGUUGUUCGGAAUUACUGGGCGUAAAGCGCACGUAGGCGGAUAUUUAAGUCAGGGGUGAAAUCCCAGAGCUCAACUCUGGAACUGCCUUUGAUACUGGGUAUCUUGAGUAUGGAAGAGGUAAGUGGAAUUCCGAGUGUAGAGGUGAAAUUCGUAGAUAUUCGGAGGAACACCAGUGGCGAAGGCGGCGACCUGGUCUUUAACUGACGCUGAGGCGCGAAAGCGUGGGGAGCAAACAGGAUUAGAUACCCGAGUAGUCCCUGUCUCUUAUAC
Molecule: ribosomal RNA, 301 nt
Filed under: uncultured bacterium
Lineage: Bacteria
Description: partial 16S ribosomal RNA
Rfam family: Bacterial small subunit ribosomal RNA
Source: RNAcentral